This 540-nucleotide ribosomal RNA is filed under the name Epixanthus frontalis. Its description in RNAcentral is "partial 16S ribosomal RNA". It matches the Rfam family "Bacterial large subunit ribosomal RNA", at positions 1811 to 2603 of the family's 2925-position model. Lineage: Eukaryota; Metazoa; Arthropoda; Malacostraca; Decapoda; Oziidae. The record is from RNAcentral.
AAACAUGUCUAUUUGGAGAUAUAAAUAGUCUGGUCUGCUCACUGAUAAAGUUAUUGUUUAAGAGCCGCGGUAUUUUGACCGUGCAAAGGUAGCAUAAUCAUUAGUUUUUUAAUUGAGAACUUGUAUGAAGGAUCGGACAAAGGAAUAGCUGUCUCUAUCACAAAUAUUGAAUUUAACUUUUAAGUGAAAAGGCUUAAAUAGUUCAAGGGGACGAUAAGACCCUAUAAAGCUUUAUGUGUUAAUUAAAUUUAAUUGAAUUGUUAGAAAAUAAAAGUUUAGUUUGAUUGUCAUAUUUUGUUGGGGCGAUAUAGGUAUAAUUUAUAUUAACUACUUAAGUUUAAUACAAAGAUGGAUGUGUAUAUUAUAGUAAUUGAUCCUUUUUAAAGAUUACAAGACUAAGUUACUUUAGGGAUAACAGCGUAAUUUCUUUUGAGAGUUCAUAUCGAAAAAGGAGUUUGCGACCUCGAUGUUGAAUUAAAAUGUCUAUAUAAUGCAGCCGUUAUAUAAGAAGGUCUGUUCGACCUUUAAAGUUUUACGUGA